GAUGAACGCUGGCGGCGUGCCUAAUACAUGCAAGUCGAGCGAACAGACGAGGAGCUUGCUCCUCUGACGUUAGCGGCGGACGGGUGAGUAACACGUGGAUAACCUCCCUAUAAGACUGGGAUCACUUCGGGAAACCGGCGCUAAUACCGGAUAAUAUAUUGAACCGCAUGGUUCAAUAGUGAAAGACGGUUUUGCUGUCACUUAUAGCUGGAUCCGCGCCGCAUUAGCUAGUUGGUAAGUUAACGGCUUACCAAGGCAACGAUGCGUAGCCGACCUGAGAGGGGGAUCGGCCACACUGGAGCUGAGACACGGUCCAGACGCCUACGGGAGGCAGCAGUAGGGAAUCUGCCGCAAUGGGCGAAAGCCUGACGGAGCAACGCCGCGUGAGUGAUGAAGGUCUUCGGAUCGUAAAACUCUGUUAUGAGGGAAGAACAAAUGUGUAAGUAACUAUGCACGUCUUGACGGUACCGAAUCAGAAAGCCACGGCUAACUACGUG
RNAcentral lists this ribosomal RNA (497 nucleotides) under uncultured bacterium. RNAcentral describes it as "partial 16S ribosomal RNA". It matches the Rfam family "Bacterial small subunit ribosomal RNA", at positions 28 to 507 of the family's 1533-position model. The record is from RNAcentral.